RNAcentral lists this ribosomal RNA (259 nucleotides) under uncultured bacterium. Its description in RNAcentral is "partial 16S ribosomal RNA". It matches the Rfam family "Bacterial small subunit ribosomal RNA", at positions 524 to 786 of the family's 1533-position model. The record is from RNAcentral.
UACGGAGGGGGUUAGCGUUGUUCGGAAUUACUGGGCGUAAAGCGCACGUAGGCGGAUCAGAAAGUUGGGGGUGAAAUCCCGGGGCUCAACCCCGGAACUGCCUCCAAAACUCCUGGUCUUGAGUUCGAGAGAGGUGAGUGGAAUUCCGAGUGUAGAGGUGAAAUUCGUAGAUAUUCGGAGGAACACCAGUGGCGAAGGCGGCUCACUGGCUCGAUACUGACGCUGAGGUGACGAAGUGUGGGAGCAAACAGGAUAGACC